CUGGACUUAAUACAGCAAUGGAACAGGAUCAAUUGGUGGACAUGCGUUUGCUUUCGGUUUUGCCAGAUCUACAUGUUCUUGGCCCAAAUGUUGUGGUGCUUGAUAGUUUUAGUAGGUUCAUCUCUCAGAUCAUGCUUUUGUUCAAUUCUUUCCCUGCGGUAAUGUUUGGUAAUUGUUUUUGGAAAUGCUUUUGGUUGAAUCAGUAAUCAUGGACUCGAUCUAAUCUUUUGUGACCUCAAUAUGAUGAGAUUUGGGUGCUGGGAAUUGAUUUCUAUUUGUUUGCAAUUGGUAGGCCUUGUAACAUUCCUUGGAGAAGGAGUGAAUUGAAUCUGAAAUUUGCUUGAGCAUCAUAAUUUCGGUUUAACCGGUUUGGAAGGGGAAAAAACCGAACCGACCCGAACCGAAAUUAAUCGGUUUGAACCGGUUUUCGGUUCGGUUCGGU
This 442-nucleotide long non-coding RNA is filed under the name Populus tremula. Its description in RNAcentral is "long non-coding RNA (PTRE_LNC001529)". The record is from RNAcentral. Lineage: Eukaryota; Viridiplantae; Streptophyta; Magnoliopsida; Malpighiales; Salicaceae.